UUUAAAAAAAAAAAAAAUUCCUUCGUAUGAGGACUUGCGGAGUCUAAAGAGUAGUACUUUUUCGACUAGGAAGUCUUUCAGAUAGGAUAUUGUUUACAAGAAAUCUGAGCAUUAAUUAAUGCAAUUAAUGGUAAAAAAAAAUAAAUAAAGCCAAGUGUAUACAAGAGCAUUAGAGAUGAAAAUGGGACACAGUAUUUACAAGAAGUUGAGAGAACUCAUAUUGAACAAGGAACUUGGAAUUGAGUCUGUUAGGUUGUUGAAACUUAGAUCCUUGCAAGCAUUUAGACAAAAAAAAGUCAAACAAAUGAAAUGAGACUAGGAUUUGAAAUUAUAAGAUAUUUGAAUUGCUUGUAUUUCAUUUGAAAUGAAAAUUCAUCAAAUAAAUCUUAAGAUAUAUAACUAAAUUUCAAUAUCAACUUUGCAAUUUGAGGUUCUUUAUGACUAUAACUUACAACCUUUUUAAUCUUGUAUAUUGUCCAAUGCCAGAUGGGAUAGUGUCACUUAUCAAUGCAUUCCUUAGAUUCCUGUGGGGGGAAAAAUAGUAAUUAUAUAAAAGAAUCUUAUUAUGGUAAUAAUACAAUAUGAGCUUAGUACAAGACUCGUAUCCAGAGAGCUACCGCCUCAAGUUUAUUAUGGUAAUUAUAAUAAAAGAAUGUUAUUAUGGUAAUAAUAAUAAUAACUUCUAUUUAUGUAACUAAUGGAGUGUGUAAUGGUAUGAGUUUGAGAGAGAGCUUCUAAAAGUUGGUACUCACAAGGAUUCCACAAAUAUCAAGUUAGAAAAGCUGGAUGGUUUGGGACCUUCGAAAGAAUUCCCCUGGAGUUUGUUUUUUCACAAAAUGAUCUAAAUUUAAUUUAUAAUUUUUAUGUGAAAUGAUCCAAUGAGUAACCUGAAUUGAUUUGUAACUGACUGGACUUAACUACCCCAAAAAGAUAAAUUGUGAAUGAUCCAAAAUUCAAAAAAAUCAAAAUCAAAAUACUCAAAUUUAAACUCGUGGGACUCAACUUGACUCAUUUAACACAUCUAUCAAAAUCACCAAUUAAAAAAUUUUAAAUGAAGAUAAAAUUAUUAAAAGUAAAAGGAAAU
RNAcentral lists this unclassified non-coding RNA (1084 nucleotides) under Hevea brasiliensis (rubber tree). The record is from RNAcentral. Lineage: Eukaryota; Viridiplantae; Streptophyta; Magnoliopsida; Malpighiales; Euphorbiaceae.